Molecule: unclassified non-coding RNA, 2995 nt
Filed under: Hevea brasiliensis (rubber tree)
Lineage: Eukaryota; Viridiplantae; Streptophyta; Magnoliopsida; Malpighiales; Euphorbiaceae
Source: RNAcentral
GAAGAAUAACUGUUGUGAUUUCAUUGGACAAGAAUUCAAAUUUCAAGGAGCAUUUUGUCAAUAAAGGGGCCCGCAUAUCUAAUAAUUGGAUCGAUAGUGCUGCGAUUUGGAGUAUUUGCCAGGCAACACAGGCUACUAUAUUGAUGAGCAGACAACAAAGACAGCACAACUGUUCAUGUGGAUUAAAGACAACCAUCUUAGCUUCGAUUUGAGCUCAUUUCCAACAAUUCACAAUGGAAUUACUGCAUUCCCAUCUUGCAGAAGGAGGGUUAGGGAAAAUAAGGAAGAAAUCAUUGCAAAACUGUAUAGAAGCAUAACAAAUAUCAAGAUACAUCAAUAAAAGCAUAAAAAACUAUAGGACAUCUCAUGCGAAAUAAUAAAUAAUCCGACAACACAGUUCGAAAGUUCGAACAUAAAAAGAAUCAAUAAGAAGCCGAGGCAGCAAUCCCAUUAAGGGGUGUAAAUUGAUGUAAAUACAAAUUUUCUAGGAUGAAGAGCAGCAAGGUUUCUUAGCGUUACCCUCAGACCCUCCAACCACAAUGGUCUUCCCCUCUUUGAUGUUGGCAGGUGCUGGUUCUUCUGAUGAAAGUGAUUUCUUACUAAUAAUCCGGUAUAUUUCAGAAAGGAUUGUCUGGAAAGCCUUCUCAACAUUUGUUGCUUCAAGAGCAGAUGUUUCAAUGAAUGAAAGUCCUUCUCUCUCUGCGUAACUUUGAGCAUCCUCGGUGGCCACUGCUCUGAGAUGUUUCAGAUCAGUCUUGUUCCCAAUUAGCAUGAUCACAAUAUUUGCAUCCGCAUGGUCCCUCAGCUCCUUAAGCCAGCGACUGACAUUUUCAAAUGUUGUUGGUUUUGUAACAUCAUACACUAGAAGGGCUCCAAGAGCACCUCUAUAAUAGGCACUGGUUAUUGCUCUGUAUCGUUCCUGCCCAGCCGUGUCCCAUAUUUGAGCUUUGACAGUCCUUCCUUCAACCUGAGUAUAUAACUUCAUCUUUUUAGCAGUACAAAAAGAUGAUGCUGUUACAAGUAAUAAAUCUCACUGAAUUUUUUUUAUGAACUCUGAGGGAUAAAUCUUGGAUACUUGCCUUGCAUAAAACUAUCUAAAUUGAGCGAAUAAGUUAAUUUCCAAAUUUUGUACUUAGGUAACAGAAAAGCAAAUGCACCAGUAGACAAAAGAGAAUAAUCCCUCUUCCCCCAUAAGUAACAUGGCUUGAUUGCUUUGAGAAUAUGUAAGAAUAAGGAAUUCCAUAAAAUUUACAUUGAUUCAAUAAAUUCUGAUCGAUGCUUCAUUUUUCAGAGGAAGUUUUGAGAAACACAUAUAGGCCAAGAAGGCAGUGCCUCAAAGCUUCAAGCAUAAUGCACCUAAGUCCUUAUGGCUAAAAACUCUUCCAGAAGUUGGGGCCCCAAGCAUUAAACAGCCUGCUGACUUAACAGCUUAGGAUCAAAUAUAAAAAUAUCCCAGCAUCUUACAAAAGUGAAAUUAAUUUCAUCUGUCUUCCAUUAAUACCAUAUCAACUUCAAAAUAUGCCAAGAAAAAUAAUAAUGAAUAUACCUAUAAAACUCAUUUAUAAGAGUGGAAAAACUAAGGACUUAAAACUGAGCAUUGGUGCAAUUCAAUUCCAAUGAGGGAUUUGUUAGUGUCAUCCCCCUCAGAUUAAUCACCAUCACUGCUCCUCCAUUUUUUUAGUAGUAAGAAAAUUAACUUCUAUUGUAACUUUCCCUAUCACAACAAAGCAAUACUGAUUUCUUUGGUAACAAUACUGCCAUGCCCUCCCACCGGACAAGUAUGAGCAUGACUAAAGAAACAGGCCUAAGGGCUUAAGGCUGAUGACGGAUCUGGUGCAAACUUACUGUAAAUAAGCUUUUGUUUGCCAAUCCCUAAUAACCACAAACUAGUAACUGAUCUAUAUACAUCAUCAAAUCAUUUUUUUUCUACUCUGCUACAUUUUUCAUAAUUUAUAGUCAAAACAUUAUUAAACAAAAUCACAAUUCAAACCAUCCUGCUUUAAUACUUCCACCCUGAUUACGACGUUAAUUUAGCCUAUUUAUAGAAAUAUAUCCAUGAUUCCAACUGUGUGCAAAUUACAAUAAUCCUCUCACCAAUUUUAGAUAAUUGUUUUUAAAUUCUAGCUACCAUCAAAUAUCUUUUGAUGGUACUCCUUUUACUGAGAUUCUCUCAAUAUUAUCUUGACAUUGUCCACAUCAGUUUCCAUGCUAGUAGAAAUCUGAGCAGGGGCAGGAGUAAUGGUUUCCAAUGUUCAUUUUUGGAAGGCCUUUCAUUGAGACCAACUGUGUUAUCCCAAUAAAAGUUCCCAUUUUCUGAUUUCUCUAUCUUUACUAAUUAAAAAAGUUGCUCCAUUUGCAAUCACAUAUCAUAAAAUUCCAAUCAAUUGGCAGCAAAGAUCAUGAAUACAAACUCAAAAAAUAUAAUAAUUAAACAAAACUAGAUCUGUUACAUGUACUAUAAGAGAAAUAGAAGAAGAUAAAAUUCAAAACUUGACAAAAUAAAAAAUUCAGAUUCGAGAUCACAAUCAACAUGCUUAUAAAUGAUAAAUCAUUACCCAUAAAAAAACAAGUCAGAUCGAAUAAAAAAAACUGAAAUUCAACAGCAAAAGAUAAAAAAAAUUUACUCAGAAAAUUACUGCCACAGACUCAAAUCGAACUAGAUCAACUAAAAUACUACUAAAAUCAUACUCACACUUUCAUACCCAGAAAAUUCAAGAGACAGAAAGUGUUUUAGAGAGAGAAUAGAGAAAGUACUUGAAGAGUACGAGUAGCAAAUUCGACACCAAUGGUGGACUUAGACUCCAAACAGAACUCGUUGCGAGUAAAUCUGGAAAGAAGAUUGGAUUUUCCUACGCCGGAAUCGCCGAUUAAUACGACCUUGAAAAGGUAAUCGUAUUCCUCGUCCGGUCUCCUCGCCAUUUCUUUCUAGACAGAGAAAAUCUCUGCUCCUAUAGAAUCGGUCGCUUUAAGAAAAGAAAAGGAGACAGAAGACGAA